UAAAAAAGUAGAUUAAGUACUUUCGGAAGUUUAAAAGUUUACUUAAGAAAGUCCGAUUUUUUUUUCAUUCUUUUGUAGCUUAACUUUUUUCAACUUAGAAACGUUUUUAUUAUUAUUAAUGACUAUUAUCAUCUGAUUGACCACUAUAAACUGAUAAAUGGUGGCAGCGAAACUCGUAAAUCAAUAGGAGGACUUUUUGAAAUUUUUGACAGAUGAUUAGGAGAAAAAACUCGCAAAAACGACUUAACUUUCGUUGCACACUCUUAAUCGCAGCUGCGCUGCUGAAAUUGAAAAAAUUAAAGUUCAGGAUUUCGAGUAAUAUUUUUGAUAAUUUUUUUUAACAGUGGAUAGCUAAAAAUAUUCCAAAGGUUUCAAAUGAAUGAACAAACUAGAUACGCCCAAAAAAAAUCCGAAUUUGCUUUGUUCAUUUUUGCAGCUGAAACAUUCUCUCACUUCUAAGCAUUUUAUUAUAAUUAAUUAAGCUUCCUAAUUAUAAGCUGAUGAAACUGUACAAACUGGUUCAAAUUUUUAAAAAACGUUAGCCUUUGUACCAAAAAUACCAUGCUUUGUUCGUAACUAAGAUAGCCAUUACCAAUUUGGGAAAUUAGGAUAACCAUUGAUAUUUUUUAGCGAAUCGUCAAAUACCUAUAGUACAACAGAAUAGAGGUUAUCAAGAUGUUUGAACCACGAGCUGAUUUCAGGAAAAUUCUAUUCUGAUCUUUUUUUAGAGUUUUCGAUUAUUGGUUGCUUUGAGAACAGUUUUGUUUGAAUCUACUAGCAGUUAUGAGGACAGCACUUUAUGAGAAUACCACUUUCCGACUAUUGGUUGCUUUGAGAACAGUUUUGUUUCAAUCUAGUAGCAGUUAUGAGGACACCACUCUUUGACUAUUGGUUGCUUUGAGGAUAGUUUUGUUCCAAUCUACUAGCAGUUAUGAGAUCACCAAUUUUCGACUAUUGGUUGCUCUGAGGACAGUUUCGUUUCAAUCUACUAGCACUUAUGAGGACAGCACGUUAUGAGGACACUGACAAAAAAAAAUUGUCUUCGAAUGUACAUUAAGUACUUUCGAAAGUUCAAAAGUUUACUUGAAGUCCGAUUUUUUCCAUUCUUUUGUAGCUUAAAAUUUUUCAAUUUUGAAUCUUUUUUAUUAUUAUUAAUGAUUAUAUCACCACUAUAAACCGAUAAAUGGUGGCAGCGAAACUGGUAACUCAAUACGAGGAUUUUUUGAAAUUUUUGACAGAUGAUUAGAAGGAAAAAUGACUUAACUUUCGUUGCACGCUCUUAAUCGCAUGCAGCUGCGUUGCUGCAAUUGAAGAAAUGAAAGUUCGGGAUUUCGAGCAAUAUUUUUGAUAAUUUAUUUUAAAAGUGAAUUGCUAAAAAUAUUCCAAAGGUUUCAAAUGAAUGAACAAAUUAGAUACGCCCAAGAAAAGUCCGAAUUUGCUUUGUUCAUUCCUGCAGCUGAAACAUUCUCUCACUUCUAAGCAUUUUUAUUAGAAUUUAUUAAGCUCUCUAAACGUAAGCUGAUAAAAGUGAACAAACUGUUUGAAAUAAAAAACAAAAAAUAUCAUCCUUUGUACCAAAAACACCAUGCUUCAUUCGUAACUCGGAUAACCAUUACGAAUUAAUUUGGGAAACUAGGAUAACCAUUGAUCCUUUUAAGCCCAUCGUGAAUUUUCUAUAGUACAAUACAAUAGAUAUUAUCAAGAUGUUUGAACCAUGAUCUGAUUUCAGGAAUGUCCUAUUCUGACCUUUUUAUUACUGUUUUUGACCAUUGGUUGCUUUGAGGACAGUUUGUUUUAAUCUACUCGCAGUUAUGAGGACAGAUGCUAUAUAUUGCUAUUUCACGGAUAAAAAAUUUCGGAAGGGCGAGUGGACGAGCGAGAAUGAUAAUUUCAGUCGCAGUUUCAUUGUCAGUCGAAAACAACGCUGUUGUGCAUGAACCUCCCCUGUGCUGGUAUUUUUUGAAACAGGACCAUUUCCUUCGUGUCAGAAGUACGGUGACUUAACGAAUUACAUAGCGCGGAAGUUCUUGCUAGAAACGUUCAUAAAAUUACACUGGAGAAAACAGAAAAAGAUUGUGGAUUUCCAAGACCGAUUGACGGUUGUGAGAUGGGAUCCGAAGGAAAUGAACCUGAAAAUCAUCCUCACGAAUAUAGCUGCAAAAUAUUAGAUAUUUCACAAGGCUCAGAACUGUCAGAGGACAGCUCUAGUGAAAAGAAUGAUGAAACUCAGAGUGAUUAUGAAUCAAACGCUUUUAGCACAGAUACUGAACCCGACGAUGGAGAUUAUUAUUUUCUCGUUUCCUCGGCGGAAGAUUCUUCGGAUGAAUCAUAAGCGAAGGAUGCUGCGGAAGACUUGAAGCUAGUGUUUCGAAUGGCAGUUCGAAAAUAUUUUCGUGAUCUGUUCGAUGAUUAACAUAGCGGAAAAAUAAGCAUACACCACUUAUUUCAUCAUUUUAAUUCCCGUCUAUAUUUUUUUUCAAAAUGCAUUUUAAAAUGUGUAAUACUUUGACUUUAUAAAAUGGUUUGCCAAAUAAUUUAAUUUGAAUUCAUCACAAAGGUAUUGAAGCGAAACACCGACUCGAGAACUUUAUUUCGAGGACAUGGCACGCACGAGUGUUUACAC
Venturia canescens is the source of this 2623-nucleotide long non-coding RNA. RefSeq lists it as uncharacterized. The record is from RefSeq and is a predicted model, not a curated record. The transcript is spliced from 3 exons. Lineage: Eukaryota; Metazoa; Arthropoda; Insecta; Hymenoptera; Ichneumonidae.